Molecule: long non-coding RNA, 1006 nt
Organism: Oncorhynchus nerka (sockeye salmon)
Lineage: Eukaryota; Metazoa; Chordata; Actinopteri; Salmoniformes; Salmonidae
Exons: 5
Source: RefSeq, a predicted model, not a curated record
ACCCGUCUUUUUUUUCGGGAAACACUUUUCACGGAACUUCAGGUUUUGAAUGUCGUAUGUACAAAAGUACUGUUAAAUGUCUAUCUUGCAAGUGAUUAACAACGGUGAUUAACAACGUAGCACUAAAAGUAACAAGAUGUUGACCCCCAGCUAGGAGCGAAAGAGCAUCGAGGUUUUCCAGGUCUCACCUUCCUUUCGCACUUCUUCCAAACCAAGUCAUUUGCCCGGAUGUUGUAGCACUUGGUCCCCUUCUUGAUUCUGCUCCGAAACAUCCACAUCCUUCUCAGCCCGUGCCUGAAGGUGGUCCUCGAAGGUGUUCUGAUCUGGUUCGACAACUUCCACCACAUCAGGUGGAGUUUCAGUGAUCUGAAAUCAACAGCUGCAGCCCCCAGUCCGUAGUCAGUGGAGGCCUGGAUGCUGCUGUUGUGUUCAAAGAGAAUUACAUGCAGGUUGUUCGCCCACCCUUCCUGGUACCAAUCAAGGGACUUGCCCAUGGCAGUCUUGAGGGUCUGGUUGGUCCAUUCACCAAACCUGGAGGGGGUAGGAAAGCGAUAUCUACUGACAAUAUGACCUCAGGAGAACCGAGGGUGUUGAAGAUGUCCAUCAUUGCCUUGGAGAUGGCCUUGCCAGUUUCGUCCUUGAUGGGUAUAUCAUGCAAAACAAAAAUCUAUUUUUGGUUCCAAGAACCCUUUUUAAUGAGUUACAGAAGAGAAUUUAGAUUUAAGCACAUACUCUUCCUUUACUGAACUUAAUGGAUAUUGCCUCCAACCACUUGGUAAAGUGAUCGGUCGCCGUCAGACACCAGCUGUUGCCAUUGCUGGAUUCAGUGAAGGGUCCGAUAAGGUCCACCCCUAACAUUUAAAGUGUUAGAGAGAAGAUUACGUUAUUCUUACCCAUAUCUGUGUCAUACAGUAUGCAUAUUUUCAUAUUUGUAAGCAUGCUGACACACACAUUAUAUAAUAUUUAACUCUGCUGUGGUCAAAUAAAGCAACCAUUAAAAAACUUA